GACGAACGCUGGCGGCGUGCUUAACACAUGCAAGUCGAACGGAAAGGCCUCUUUCGGGGGGUACUCGAGUGGCGAACGGGUGAGUAACACGUGAGUAACCUGCCCUUGACUUUGGGAUAACUUCAGGCAACUGGGGCUAAUACCGGAUAGGAGCUCCUGCUGCAUGGUGGGGGUUGGAAAGUUUCGGCGGUUGGGGAUGGACUCGCGGCUUAUCAGCUUGUUGGUGGGGUAGUGGCUUACCAAGGCUUUGACGGGUAGCCGGCCUGAGAGGGUGAGCGGCCACAUUGGGACUGAGAGGCGGCCCAGACUCCUACGGGAGGCAGCAGUGGGGAAUAUUGCACAAUGGGUGGAAGCCUGAUGCAGCAACGCCGUGUGCGGGAUGACGGCCUUCGGGUUGUAAACCGCUUUCGCUCAUGACGAAGCUUUGUGUGACGGUAGUGGGUAAAGAAGCACCGGCUAACUACGUG
RNAcentral lists this ribosomal RNA (467 nucleotides) under uncultured bacterium. RNAcentral's name for it is "partial 16S ribosomal RNA". It matches the Rfam family "Bacterial small subunit ribosomal RNA", at positions 28 to 507 of the family's 1533-position model. The record is from RNAcentral.